ACACACUGUCUGUCACUCACAUGGUCUCUCAUGUGCUCUUUUCCAUACAAUCACUUGCUCUCCGUCUCUCUCACCUGCUCUCCCAAGCACUCUCUUCCAGACACUCACACUCUCAGAGUGACACUGGCUCAUGCUCUCUCCCACAAACAGGACACUUACCUGCGGCACCAGCACCUAUGGUGGGAUAUACUUUGGGAUGAACUACCUACCUGUACUACUUAUUCACACUUACUAAUUCCCUGUCUCAAUCUCAUGCCCUCAUUCUCGCACAUUCUCU
This is a non-coding RNA of Pelobates cultripes (western spadefoot toad), 277 nucleotides long. NCBI's taxonomy places the organism in Eukaryota, Metazoa, Chordata, Amphibia, Anura, Pelobatidae. The record is from the annotation of a GenBank genome assembly.